Molecule: ribosomal RNA, 507 nt
Filed under: Didymella glomerata
Lineage: Eukaryota; Fungi; Ascomycota; Dothideomycetes; Pleosporales; Didymellaceae
Description: eukaryotic LSU rRNA
Rfam family: 5.8S ribosomal RNA (bases 142-295)
Source: RNAcentral
GGCUACUGAGUGUAGGCUUUGCCUGCUAUCUCUUACCCAUGUCUUUUGAGUACCUUCGUUUCCUCGGCGGGUCCGCCCGCCGAUUGGACAAUUUAAACCAUUUGCAGUUGCAAUCAGCGUCUGAAAAAACUUAAUAGUUACAACUUUCAACAACGGAUCUCUUGGUUCUGGCAUCGAUGAAGAACGCAGCGAAAUGCGAUAAGUAGUGUGAAUUGCAGAAUUCAGUGAAUCAUCGAAUCUUUGAACGCACAUUGCGCCCCUUGGUAUUCCAUGGGGCAUGCCUGUUCGAGCGUCAUUUGUACCUUCAAGCUCUGCUUGGUGUUGGGUGUUUGUCUCGCCUCUGCGCGUAGACUCGCCUCAAAACAAUUGGCAGCCGGCGUAUUGAUUUCGGAGCGCAGUACAUCUCGCGCUUUGCACUCAUAACGACGACGUCCAAAAGUACAUUUUUACACUCUUGACCUCGGAUCAGGUAGGGAUACCCGCUGAACUUAAGCAUAUCAUAGCCCG